AGUGAACGCUGGCGGUAGGCCUAACACAUGCAAGUCGAACGGCAGCACAGUAAGAGCUUGCUCUUACGGGUGGCGAGUGGCGGACGGGUGAGGAAUACAUCGGAAUCUACUUUUUCGUGGGGGAUAACGUAGGGAAACUUACGCUAAUACCGCAUACGACCUACGGGUGAAAGCAGGGGAUCUUCGGACCUUGCGCGAUUGAAUGAGCCGAUGUCGGAUUAGCUAGUUGGCGGGGUAAAGGCCCACCAAGGCGACGAUCCGUAGUUGGUCUGAGAGGAUGGUGAAGCAGACUGGAAAUGGGGCACGGUCCCAGCUCCUACGGGAGGCGGCAGAGGGGAAUAUUGGACGAAGGGGGGGAGACUGAUGCAGACAGACCGGGUGGGUGAAGAAGGCCCUCCGGGUGUGAAAUCCCUUUGUUGGGAAAGAAAAGCAGCAGGUUAAUACCCCGCUGUUCUGACGGUACCCAAAGAAUAAGCACCGGCUAACUUCGUG
Molecule: ribosomal RNA, 492 nt
Filed under: uncultured bacterium
Lineage: Bacteria
Description: partial 16S ribosomal RNA
Rfam family: Bacterial small subunit ribosomal RNA
Source: RNAcentral